AGCCAUAAGUUAACCAUUUAUGGUGGUACCUGCCCAGUGACUUAAUUGUUAAAUGGCCGCGGUAUCCUGACCGUGCUAAGGUAGCGUAAUCAUUUGGCUUUUAAAUGGAGCCAGGUAUGAAUGGAUGGACCGGGUUGAGCUGUCUCUUUAUUAUUUUAUUGAAUUUACUUUUUAGGUGAAAAAGCCUUAUUUUAUAAAAGGGACGAGAAGACCCUUAGAAUUUUUUCGAAGGUGAGGGAGUCAUAAUGUUUUUGUUGGGGUGACAGAGAGGAAUUUAUAAACCCUCUUUUUAUAUAUGCCGAUUUUAAUAAGAAAGAAUAAAUUACCUAAGGGAUAACAGCAUAAUCCUGAAAUUGGGUUUGUGACCUCGAUGUUGGACUAGGGAACUGUCAGGUUAGCCGCCUGUUAAGUGGGUUCUGUUCGAACUUAAAUUCCU
This 436-nucleotide ribosomal RNA is filed under the name Janolus mirabilis. Its description in RNAcentral is "partial 16S ribosomal RNA". It matches the Rfam family "Archaeal large subunit ribosomal RNA", at positions 1909 to 2666 of the family's 2987-position model. The record is from RNAcentral. Lineage: Eukaryota; Metazoa; Mollusca; Gastropoda; Nudibranchia; Zephyrinidae.